GAGGAUGUAGCUCAGUGGUAGAGUGUGUGCUUUGCAUCCACAAGGUCCUGGGUUCAAUCCCCAGUACCUCCU
This 72-nucleotide transfer RNA is filed under the name Camelus bactrianus (Bactrian camel). It matches the Rfam family "tRNA". From Rfam's summary of the family: Transfer RNA (tRNA) molecules are approximately 80 nucleotides in length. Their secondary structure includes four short double-helical elements and three loops (D, anti-codon, and T loops). Further hydrogen bonds mediate the characteristic L-shaped molecular structure. tRNAs have two regions of fundamental functional importance: the anti-codon, which is responsible for specific mRNA codon recognition, and the 3' end, to which the tRNAs corresponding amino acid is attached (by aminoacyl-tRNA synthetases). tRNAs cope with the degeneracy of the genetic code in two manners: having more than one tRNA (with a specific anti-codon) for a particular amino acid; and 'wobble' base-pairing, i.e. permitting non-standard base-pairing at the 3rd anti-codon position. Lineage: Eukaryota; Metazoa; Chordata; Mammalia; Artiodactyla; Camelidae. RNAcentral also lists the same sequence under 2 other names. The record is from Rfam by way of RNAcentral.